GGGCCCGUAGCUUAGUCUGGUUGGAGCAUCCGGCUGAUAACCGGAAGGUCGCCCGUUCGAAUCGGGUCGGGCCCACCA
Molecule: transfer RNA, 78 nt
Filed under: Marine Group III euryarchaeote CG-Bathy2
Lineage: Archaea; Methanobacteriati; Thermoplasmatota; Thermoplasmata; Candidatus Thermoprofundales
Also listed under: 5 other names
Description: tRNA-Ile
Rfam family: tRNA
About the family: Transfer RNA (tRNA) molecules are approximately 80 nucleotides in length.
Source: RNAcentral